GACGAACGCUGGCGGCGUGCUUAACACAUGCAAGUCGAACGGAAAGGCCCUGCUUUUGUGGGGUGCUCGAGUGGCGAACGGGUGAGUAACACGUGAGUAACCUGCCCCUGACUUUGGGAUAACUUCUGGAAACUGGGGCUAAUACCGGAUAGGAGCUCCUGCUGCAUGGUGGGGGUUGGAAAGUUUCGGCGGUUGGGGAUGGACUCGCGGCUUAUCAGCUUGUUGGUGGGGUAGUGGCUUACCAAGGCUUUGACGGGUAGCCGGCCAGAGAGGGUGACCGGCCACAAUGGGACUGAGAUACGGCCCAGAAUCCUACGGGAGGCAGCAGGGGGGAAUAUUGCGCAAUGGGCGGAAGCCUGAUGCAGCAACGCCGCGUGCGGGAUGACGGCCUUCGGGUUGUAAACCGCUUUCGCCGGUGACGAAGCGUGAGUGACGGUAAUGGGUAAAGAAGCACCGGCUAACUACGUG
This 468-nucleotide ribosomal RNA is filed under the name uncultured bacterium. Its description in RNAcentral is "partial 16S ribosomal RNA". It matches the Rfam family "Bacterial small subunit ribosomal RNA", at positions 28 to 507 of the family's 1533-position model. The record is from RNAcentral.